RNAcentral lists this small RNA (1730 nucleotides) under Histoplasma capsulatum. RNAcentral describes it as "hypothetical RNA". Lineage: Eukaryota; Fungi; Ascomycota; Eurotiomycetes; Onygenales; Ajellomycetaceae. RNAcentral also lists the same sequence under 1 other name. The record is from RNAcentral.
UCCCCCUCACCUCACCUCACUUGACCGACCAAGUGAGAAACACCAACGACACAGCGAAUCCGGUUCCGUGCCCACAAGCCAACGAAAUGCAGAUCUCACGCUACGGAGAGAUGAACCGGUUCGCCCAUUCGUCAUGGCCUCGACGUGUGCAUGAAAGAUACUUUUCCAACAUCCGCAGUACGUUGUGCGUAACGCAGAAAUUAGGGCUAAAACCCAGCGUCUGGCGAAUAAGAAUGGAUUACAAACUCUAGCAGGUGGAGAUUGCCUUUUUUUUUUUUUUUUGUUUGCGGGUGGCCAUACUAGCGAAUCAAUCAUUGGGGGAAAUCGAUAGCAUGAUAUGGACCAUUCUCACCGUUGGUUGUGGACGCUUGCGCCUGUGUGGCUGACAGGUGUUUUGUGGGUGACACAGAUAUAGGCUUCCUAUUUUUGUAUGAGGAAUAGUUGUUUAUCGGUUUGAAUGUUUUCAUGCCUGCCUUUGCUGCGGUUUCGUGUUACCGGGUUCUAUAAAGCAAAUAUGGUUUGAUCAUUAUCAUUAUAAAGUAGAGAAGCAGAUACAUUCUCCAGUAGAUACAUUAUUGCAGGCCAGCAGUGGUGCCUUCCACGCCAGAAAACAGGAGUUGUAUUUAUAUACGGUGUAAAUUGAUAAAAGCAAAGGAAAACAAGAAAACAAGAAAACCUAGGUAUAUGUACGUAAAUAUGCAAAGCUAUAUCCCCCCGGCUAAUGAGGUCAUGGCAUGACGGUAGCAGGCAAAAAUUCAAUACAAAAGGAAACUAGAGUGGUGCAGGACAGACGAACAAAAGUAGCGUCGUGGAGAGAGAUCAAAAUAUCACAUAGAUACAAGCACGUCCCUCUGCUGUGGCUGCAUCUUAGAAUAUGGUAAUAAUGGUAGAAAUCCAACAACCUGGGGCCCAACCCAACACCUCAUCGUAAAGAAAUCAUAUCAUAUCCCACACCAAAACCAGAACACCGGGCCAUAUAUGUAUAUAGAUAUAUAUAUUUAUAUAUAUAUAUAAUCCAAAACUCCCGGCGUUAGUGCAGAAAACAGCAAAGAAAAGUAAAGGUAAAGAAGGAUGGUUAUGCAAGUCCAGGAUAAAUCCUGCCUGGAAUAUAGAGAGCACUGGUGGAGGAGGGAAAGCUCGUCAUAUUGGGACGAAAACAUCCGGAGUGAGGGGGAUGGGGAUGCGCAUGGCUGUCGGGUAGUUUCUGAUCGGAUCAAUGUCGGUGUGUGAUAGGCGUGAGACACUCCUUUGUGCCUCUGGUGUAGUGUGAUUAAUACACUGAGGACGCGCGACAAUAGCGUUAUUGCAUAGCAAAAAUAUGCCGACUUCAAGGAGAACCGGUCGGGGGUAUGAUGGCGAGGUAGAAUGAUAGGUUGGGAGGGGAUAUGUGGGUGGUUUGGUGUUCGAGUAAUGUUUAUAGAGGGAUGUUAAGUGCUGUCGAGCAAGAAUAUGGUAUGAGUAUACAAUAAUUCUGUUUCGCUCCGAGUCAUUUAUUCACUUGUUUUCCUUCGCUUGCCUUUUGGCGCUGGAUCCAGUGGGGUGCGUUUGUAGGUUACUGUGCGGGUGAUAACAUGUCGAACGCAAACAGAUCGUCCAGAUGCGCUUCGCGGAGGAUCGAAGUAGCGAGCGCCUGGCGAGCCGCACCAGUCUGACGGAGAAAACUGCGACCGUGCUGAUGUGCACGAUGCACUCUUGGGAGAUGUUGCACUCAUGGGUGAGCGUAUGCUGGG